AGUGAACGCUGGCGGUAGGCCUAACACAUGCAAGUCGAACGGCAGCACAGUAAGAGCUUGCUCUUACGGGUGGCGAGUGGAGGACGGGUGAGGAAUACAUCGGAAUCUACUUUUUCGUGGGGGAUAACGUAGGGAAACUUACGCUAAUACCGCAUACGACCUACGGGUGAAAGCAGGGGAUCUUCGGACCUUGCGCGAUUGAAUGAGCCGAUGUCGGAUUAGCUAGUUGGCGGGGUAAAGGCCCACCAAGGCGACGAUCCGUAGCUGGUCUGAGAGGAUGAUCAGCCACACUUGAACUGAGACACGGUCCAGACUCCUACGGGAGGCAGCAGUGGGGAAUAUUGGACAAUGGGCGCAAGCCUGAUCCAGCCAUACCGCGUGGGUGAAGAAGGCCUUCGGGUUGUAAAGCCCUUUUGUUGGGAAAGAAAAGCAGCAGGUUAAUACCCCGCUGUUCUGACGGUACCCAAAGAAUAAGCACCGGCUAACUUCGUG
Molecule: ribosomal RNA, 492 nt
Filed under: uncultured bacterium
Lineage: Bacteria
Description: partial 16S ribosomal RNA
Rfam family: Bacterial small subunit ribosomal RNA
Source: RNAcentral